UAAUCGCGGAUCAGCAUGCCGCGGUGAAUACGUUCCCGGGCCUUGUACACACCGCCCGUCACACCAUGAGAGUCGGGAACACCCGAAGUCCGUAGCCUAACCGCGAAGGGGGGCGCGGCCGAAGGUGGGUUCGAUAAUUGGGGUGAAGUCGUAACAAGGUAAC
This 163-nucleotide ribosomal RNA is filed under the name uncultured bacterium. RNAcentral describes it as "partial 16S ribosomal RNA". It matches the Rfam family "Bacterial small subunit ribosomal RNA", at positions 1339 to 1500 of the family's 1533-position model. The record is from RNAcentral.